AGGUACCGCUCACCAACACUGCUCGAGCCGCUCGGUACAAGCGGCCGCUGAGCACC
This 56-nucleotide non-coding RNA is filed under the name unclassified sequences. The record is from RNAcentral.